This is a long non-coding RNA of Homo sapiens (human), 454 nucleotides long. Ensembl annotates it as MAP3K14 antisense RNA 1. Its record names the gene MAP3K14-AS1. NCBI's taxonomy places the organism in Eukaryota, Metazoa, Chordata, Mammalia, Primates, Hominidae. The record is from Ensembl.
AGUAGGGCUGGAUCAGGCGGAAGCCGGGGCCCGGGGCUGGGCUUCGUGUCCUGCGUUCCGGGAGCGCCAACCCCUCCAGCAGAGGGGACGUGGCUGGUGGCUGGAGAAGCUGGAUUUGCCCUUUGAUGGUGGCCCUCUUGAUCCCCGGCUUGCUGAAGUCAAAGGAGAGGCUGUCGAUGCUGAGGCACGAGAGAAUUUGCUCCUGCUCCUCCAGAGAAAAUGGCUGGGACAGGCUGUUGAGGAAUAAUUCUGCAGGGAAAAGUGGAAGAUGGCUGUGAAAGACUGGGAGGAGGCUGGCUGUGUUUUCAGGGGUUCUUCCUGCACAGUCGGUAGAAGCUGAGCUGCUGGGGAAGGGGCUGGAAGAAAGCCCACACCGCAGCUGCUGCAGUUCCUGCUCCGGGACGGUUGCUUUCCGCUCUGGUGAGCUGGGGUUUCUGGCAGGGGCUGGCUCCAG